RNAcentral lists this transfer RNA (85 nucleotides) under Bacteroidota bacterium. RNAcentral describes it as "Bacteroidetes bacterium (sediment metagenome) tRNA-Pro". Lineage: Bacteria; Pseudomonadati; Bacteroidota. The record is from RNAcentral.
AGGGGUGUAGCCCCGCCGUUGGCGGGGCACUACGUUCGGGAUCCCGCCGCAGGCGGGACUGGUUCAAGUCCAGUCACCCCGACUA